Molecule: ribosomal RNA, 468 nt
Filed under: uncultured bacterium
Lineage: Bacteria
Description: partial 16S ribosomal RNA
Rfam family: Bacterial small subunit ribosomal RNA
Source: RNAcentral
GACGAACGCUGGCGGCGUGCUUAACACAUGCAAGUCGAACGGAAAGGCCCUGCUUUUGUGGGGUGCUCGAGUGGCGAACGGGUGAGUAACACGUGAGUAACCUGCCCUUGACUUUGGGAUAACUUCAGGAAACUGGGGCUAAUACCGGAUAGGAGCUCCUGCUGCAUGGUGGGGGUUGGAAAGUUUCGGCGGUUGGGGAUGGACUCGCGGCUUAUCAGCUUGUUGGUGGGGUAGUGGCUUACCAAGGCUUUGACGGGUAGCCGGCCUGAGAGGGUGACCGGUCACAUUGGGACUGAGAUACGGCCCAGACUCCUACGGGAGGCAGCAGUGGGGAAUAUUGCACAAUGGGCGGAAGCCUGAUGCAGCAACGCCGCGUGCGGGAUGAAGGCCUUCGGGUUGUAAACCGCUUUCGCCUGUGACGAAGCGUGAGUGACGGUAAUGGGUAAAGAAGCACCGGCUAACUACGUG